Molecule: long non-coding RNA, 951 nt
Organism: Pecten maximus
Lineage: Eukaryota; Metazoa; Mollusca; Bivalvia; Pectinida; Pectinidae
Exons: 4
Source: RefSeq, a predicted model, not a curated record
GCCAUGUUUGAAUUCACCGGAUGUUUAUUUCCAGAAGAAAAGUAUAAACAAACACGACGAUAGCCUAAAAACGAAGUUUGUUUCCCGUCUUACUGAAGAAGAUCGACUUACUCCAAGUUACCGACGAAAGAAUAUCAGCUUUCUCGUUGUUUUUGACGACCGAUGCAUAUUUUUACCGACAAACAUCGUUACGAGACAGGGGUUUUGAUGAUUAAUUUAUCACAGAUUACACGACUGAAUGAAACGCAGUACCGAUCCAUGUGUUACAAUCAGACUGAGUCUGCAUGCAGUACAUUCUGGAAUGAGGGACACCGCAUGCAUUGUGGUUCAAAUUGAUGGCAUUGACUUAACACAAAGCAGAAAGGAAUGAAGAGAAAUUAAGAAGUUUAUGUUUCACAUUAAUUAAGAUUAUUCGAGAUAUGUUAUCUGUCGAGUUCACGGACACACAUGAAAACAGUUUCCAGUACAUCUGGGCUACUUCGAGGAAACUGUGUAUACUGUCUGAAAUCAGUCUUGUGCAUCGGUGACAAAAUGUAUACAUAUCCUACUUUAACUCUGCUGGAAAAUAUUAUUUUGUACUAUUUUCCUACUAUUUUAGAAGAAAAAAAACAGAAUUAUAAAUACAUACUGUAGUAUGUACUGACAUUGAACUUGUAUAUCUUGUUGACUAUUUUUGUUAAAACAAACCACUUCUAGCUAGGAUGAAUUGAUAUUAGUUGUAUUUGAAAAUUGUACUAGAAAAAGAUAGCUGUGUUGUGUAUGUGAUGGAAGUUUUGAGAAAAAGAAUAUAAGAGGCAAAUAAAAUAAGUACCAUGGGUAAAUUAGAAUUAAAAUUUGUUUUGUCACAUUCUCAUUUCAUUGAUGAGUUGUAAAUGUUUGAACUAGAAAAAACAGCCUGUAUGAAAAGUUUUAUACCAUGUUAAUUACCAAAUAAAAUGUAAUACAGAAGUA